UGCUAGCCUAGAUUGAAACGGCGUCCUUUUAUCUCGCUGUAAAAACGAGAUAAAAGAUACAGUGGAAAGCGGGACAUCGA
This 80-nucleotide small RNA is filed under the name Flavobacterium frigoris. Its description in RNAcentral is "Flavo-1 RNA". It matches the Rfam family "Flavo-1 RNA". The record is from RNAcentral. Lineage: Bacteria; Pseudomonadati; Bacteroidota; Flavobacteriia; Flavobacteriales; Flavobacteriaceae.